This 700-nucleotide ribosomal RNA is filed under the name uncultured Verrucomicrobiaceae bacterium. RNAcentral's name for it is "bacterial SSU rRNA". It matches the Rfam family "Bacterial small subunit ribosomal RNA", at positions 95 to 796 of the family's 1533-position model. The record is from RNAcentral. Lineage: Bacteria; Pseudomonadati; Verrucomicrobiota; Verrucomicrobiia; Verrucomicrobiales; Verrucomicrobiaceae.
GUGGCGCACGGGUGAGUAACACGUGAAUGACAUGCCCUUCAGAGGGGGAUAGCCCAGGGAAACUUGGAUUAAUACCCCAUGGUCUCGCAAGAGUAAAGGUGGCGCAAGCUGCCGCUGAGGGAUUGGUUCGCGCCCUAUCAGCUAGUUGGUGAGGUAACGGCUCACCAAGGCGAUGACGGGUACUUGGUCUGAGAGGACGAUCAGGCACACUGGAACUGAGACACGGUCCAGACACCUACGGGUGGCAGCAGUCGAGAAUAAUUCACAAUGGGGGCAACCCUGAUGGUGCAACGCCGCGUGGAGGAUGAAGGUCUUCGGACUGUAGACUCCUGUCAUCCGGGAGAAAGACCUGGCUGUGAAUAGCAGACAGGGUUGAUAGUACCGGAAGAGGAAGGGACGGCUAACUUCGUGCCAGCAGCCGCGGUAAUACGAAGGUCCCGAGCGUUGUUCGGAAUCACUGGGCGUAAAAGGAGCGUAGGCGGUUUGGUAAGUCAGAUGUGAAAUCCCGGGGCUCAACCCCGGAACUGCAUCCGAUACUGCCAGACUUGAGCAAUGGAGAGGUAGCUGGAAUUAUCGGUGUAGCAGUGAAAUGCGUAGAUAUCGAUAGGAACACUCGUGGCGAAAGCGAGCUACUGGACAUUUGCUGACGCUGAGGCUCGAAGGCUAGGGGAGCGAAAGGGAUUAGAUACCCCUGUAGUCC